This 265-nucleotide long non-coding RNA is filed under the name Setaria viridis. RNAcentral describes it as "long non-coding RNA (SVIR_LNC010822)". The record is from RNAcentral. Lineage: Eukaryota; Viridiplantae; Streptophyta; Magnoliopsida; Poales; Poaceae.
UCGGGGCUGAUUUAAACUACAGAUUUGGGAGCCUUCGGAGAUGAAAAGGAUUAAGGUCCAAGUAACAAGGUUGUAGCUGGGACUUUGUUCUCCAGCUUCCAUAAAGGAAUUUUCUUGGCGUCCUGCUCAACUUUCCAAAGAUAAACCCUCCCUAAGGCUCUAGGUUGGGCUGAAGACCGGACUUUAGCCGAUAUAGCUCAAGAAGACUGAGUCAACAAGAUUAGGGGCUUGUCUUAAGAUUAACUCGGCUGAUUUAAGCCCAAGU